UAGAGUUUGAUCCUGGCUCAGGAUAAACGCUGGCGGCGUGCCUAACACAUGCAAGUCGAACGUCCUUCCUCUUUCGGGAGGAAGGGAGUGGCGGACGGGUGAGUAGCGCGUGGGCACCUGCCCUCAGGUGAGGAAUACCGGCGAGAAAUCGCCGACAAGACCGCAUAGGCUCGCUGCUUUGGGGCGGCGAGCAAAGUUCCGCGAGGGACGCCUGGGGAGGGGCCUGCGUCCGAUUAGCUAGCUGGUGGGGUAAAGGCUCACCAGGGCGACGAUCGGUAGCUGGUCUGAGAGGACGAACAGCCACACUGGGAUUGAGAACGGCCCAGACUCCUACGGGGGGCAGCAGUGAGGAAUUUUCGGCAAUGGGGGCAACCCUGACCGAGCAACGCCGCGUGCAGGAAGACGGCCUUCGGGUUGUAAACUGCUUUUCUGUGGGACGAGAGAGGACGGUACCACAGGAAGAAGCCCCGGCUAACUACGUGCCAGCAGCCGCGGUAAGACGUAGGGGGCGAGCGUUGUCCGGAGUUACUGGGCGUAAAGGGCGCGCAGGCGGUCUGCCACGUUUGCCAUGACAGGGUCGGGCUUCACUCGACCAGGAGGGCGAAAACGAGCGGACUUGAGGCUCAGAGAGGGACCUGGAAUUCCGGGUGGAGUGGUGAAAUGCGUAGAGAUCCGGAGGAACACCAAAGGCGAAGGCAGGGUCCUGGCUGAGAACUGACGCUGAGGGGCGAAAGCCAGGGGAGCGAACAGGAUUAGAUACCCUGGUAGUCCUGGCUGUAAACGAUGACCACUAGAUGUGCGGGGUAUCGACCCCCUGCGUGUCGGAGGAAACCUUUUAAGUGGUCCGCCUGGGGAGUACGGUCGCAAGAUUAAAACUCAAAGGAAUUGACGGGGACCCGCACAAGCAGCGGAGCGUGUGGUUUAAUUCGAUGCAACGCGAAGAACCUUACCAGGGCUUGACAUGCCACCGAUCGCGUCAGAGAUGGCGUUCCCUUCGGGGCGGUGGCACAGGUGCUGCAUGGCUGUCGUCAGCUCGUGCCGUGAGGUGUUGGGUUAAGUCCCGCAACGAGCGCAACCCCUAUGGUCGGUUGUAGGUUUCCGGCCAGACUGCCACGAUCAACGUGGAGGAAGGUGGGGAUGAUGUCAAGUCAGCACGGCCCUGACGUCCUGGGCGACACACACGCUACAAUGGCCGGGCACAACGGGUGGCCAACCCGCGAGGGGGAGCUAAUCCCAGCAAACCCGGUCUCAGUUCGGAUUGCAGGCUGCAACCCGCCUGCAUGAAGUCGGAGUUGCUAGUAACCGUGAGUCAGCACAUCACGGUGAAUACGUUCCCGGGUCUUGUACACACCGCCCGUCACACCACGAAAGUCGGCAACACCUGAAGCCGCUGAGCUAACCCUGUGGGGGGCAGGCGUCGAGGGUGGGGUCGGUGAUUGGGGUGAAGUCGUAACAAGGUAGCCGUA
This is a ribosomal RNA of 1466 nucleotides. It matches the Rfam family "Bacterial small subunit ribosomal RNA".